This is a long non-coding RNA of Glossina fuscipes, 2453 nucleotides long. RefSeq lists it as uncharacterized. The transcript has 5 exons. Lineage: Eukaryota; Metazoa; Arthropoda; Insecta; Diptera; Glossinidae. The record is from RefSeq and is a predicted model, not a curated record.
AGGGAUUUAAACUAUGCAAGGCUGUGGACUGUGAUAUGUAUUAAAAAAAAAAACCAAAAAAAAAAAGAGAAAAAAAUUUUAUAAAAAUACUUCGAAUGCUGCCGUCUUUACAUGCAGGCAUUACUUUUUGCUCAUCUCAUUUAGGUUUUCCCUUUUAUGGCUAAAUAAUUUCCGUUGAAAGGUUAGUAAAUGUUCAUAAACUCCUACGUUUUAUGUGAGAAAGGCUAUCCUCAUCUAUAUUUAGUGAUUGCUAUUACGAUCUCUUCACGUAAUCGAAAUCUAAACGAAAAACUAUUAAAAUUGUUAAGCAGACAAUGUUAGUUUUUUUCUCUUUCUUUCUUUCUUUUUUUUUCUUUCAAAGCGUAAAAGUUAAAAUUUAAAAACUAUGGUCAAGCAUAACUUUGUCUCUGUUUGCCGCUAUUGUUGAUCUUUUUUGCAACAAUACAUCGUUCAGUUUGUUCAAUUGAUGUAGGUCGGUAGAGAACUGCAGUAAUAGAUUCCUUAUCGGGGUUUAAUGUCCGGACCUAGCUUGAAACCUAAGUCAGAGGGGUUGCCUGCACGUAUUGACAAUUAGCAUAUUUCAAUUGGGGACCCCUAAGGGAGUAAGACAAUCCCCAUUGAAGGGGGCCUUACUACCCAGAGGUACCGAAUUAGAAAAUUGACGUGGGCUCGCUCACUGGUUUCCGUCGAGGCCUAUCCAAACACCUCCUAGUUAGUUCGCCGCGAAAUUUCGGAGUAAGCACAUCCACCACGAUAGUCCCCGAAGGGCCGUAUCCAAGCAGCCAGGUAAGAAGGCAUUCUCCCAGCAGUCAGAUAGGUAGUGCAUUUUCCUGCCAGGAGCAAUCCUACUUUUGGGCAACCUGAGCCCACUAAAUUUCAUAGCUUAUCACUCGUACAUAACUUACACCGUAGUAUACAGCUUUGGUUGACCUCUUACCCCGUACGCAGUCGCAGACCCUCUUGCCUUCAAAUCCCCCACAUGUCUCGGUUGGCAAACCAAGCACUAUUCUUUCUCGAGGAAACAAUGCCUCCAAGGUUGUCGUCACACAGCACACCACCAACUAUACCCCAGCUCGUUUAAAUAUCGCUGGCUCUCAUGCGGUUUGAUGACCUCCACAAAAGAGAAACAAAAGGCAGAAGAAAAAUACUGUCUUUUUCUAAUGAAAAGAGUGCCUUCUUGCGAUGCAUCUCUUCGGCUUCCAAAAAAAAAACUCGCCGCCAGGUUAUAAAAAGCAAACCUUAAACCCUCCUUUGACGUUGAGUGUGCGACUCUCGCAAGUGAGGGCUAGAAAAGCAACAGUAAACGUUCGCAAAAGAAAUCGUUCAAGUGCCACAUUAGUAGUUCCAUUUUUUUCAGCUUAGAGAUAUGUAGGAGAACGUACAUUGACCUAAUGGGGAAUGAUCCGAUAAAUUGAUCGAUUCAUCCUUCAGCUGAUUUAUUACGGCGAUGAUUUAAUAAACCAGUGCACAAAAAUUCUCAAGGGUUAACGAAACGUAUUACUACCUACCGUGCUACUGCAACAGUGAUUUUCAAUACGUUUAUUAAUUGAGUAAAUUGAUUUGUCUUAUUUUACUAUACCCUAUAGCGCAGUUGGUGGUACAGGACAUGUUAAGUUUGCGCGGAUGCCUACAACACCCAGUAGGACUGGACGUAGACGCAUCUUUUCUUAGGCGGAUCAAUUCAGAAGCAUAUUGCGAGUCGAUCUAAACUUGUCUGUCUCUCUGUCCGUACGUCUUGCUUUCUUUUGUUCAACUUAUACGCCGCAACUUUUAAAAUAUUUUGAUUUGACUUGGUACACUCUCAUGUUUUGGGUCUAAUAUUUGUUGAGAAUAAAUCGGAUUUGAACACUUUCUCCAAGUCGUUGUACAAAUAACUCUUUUUACCAGUGAACUGGCGUUGUUAUAGGGCAAUUAAUCGUGAGUUUUUACACUUUUGUUAUUAGAAGAAUUAGAAAAUCAUAAAAAAAGCGAAAGAGGCGGCGGAGGAGUAAUGUUUUUGUUUAAGGUAGGACACUCUAUGCAAAUGUCAUUCAUUUGGGAAUAUGGAGGUAACUUGUUAUAUAAUCUUUCUUGUCGAAAAUUCUGUGUAUAGCUCAAUAAAUAUUUUAUUAAUUAUUUCUAUUUUCUUUCCCUUUACAUUUCAGUUCCAUUCUCUUUUCAAUACUUCCUUUUUGAUGGGACUCAAUCAAUCAGGUCGACUUGCAAUUAUUCUGAAUUAAAAACAAGCUGAAUUCGAUGAGGGAGGAAAGGGAGGAGUUGGGCAAAAUGACACGAGCGUAUUAAGCGUUUUUAAAACGCUAUUGGAUUUUGAAAAGAGUUUACUCAAACUGCAUAAAUUAAUUAAUUGAUUUCUUAAUCUUAAUUGGCAUUAAGAAACUCUUAUUCAUUUUCUUUAUUACUUUGUAGUUAAAGUUUUGCGAAAAUUUUGAAAAAGAAAAAAAAAAAAAACAAAA